GGUUAAGCGACUAAGCGUACACGGUGGAUGCCCUGGCAGUCAGAGGCGAUGAAGGACGUGCUAAUCUGCGAAAAGCGUCGGUAAGGUGAUAUGAACCGUUACAGCCGGCGAUGUCCGAAUGGGGAAACCCAGUGUGAUUCGUCACACUAUCGUUAACUGAAUACAUAGGUUAACGAGGCGAACCGGGGGAACUGAAACAUCUAAGUACCCCGAGGAAAAGAAAUCAACCGAGAUUCCCCCAGUAGCGGCGAGCGAACGGGGAGCAGCCCAGAGUCUGAAUCAGCUUGUGUGUUAGUGGAACGGUCUGGAAAGUCCGACGGUACAGGGUGAUAGUCCCGUACACCAAAAUGCACAGGCUGUGAACUCGAAGAGUAGGGCGGGACACGUGGUAUCCUGUCUGAAUAUGGGGGGACCAUCCUCCAAGGCUAAAUACUCCUGACUGACCGAUAGUGAACCAGUACCGUGAGGGAAAGGCGAAAAGAACCCCGGCGAGGGGAGUGAAAAAGAACCUGAAACCGUGUACGUACAAGCAGUGGGAGCACCUUCGGGUGUGACUGCGUACCUUUUGUAUAAUGGGUCAGCGACUUAUAUUCUGUAGCAAGGUUAACCGUAUAGGGGAGCCGCAGGGAAACCGAGUCUUAACUGGGCGUUAAGUUGCAGGGUAUAGACCCGAAACCCGGUGAUCUAGCCAUGGGCAGGUUGAAGGUUGGGUAACACUAACUGGAGGACCGAACCGACUAAUGUUGAAAAAUUAGCGGAUGACUUGUGGCUGGGGGUGAAAGGCCAAUCAAACCGGGAGAUAGCUGGUUCUCCCCGAAAGCUAUUUAGGUAGCGCCUCGUGAAUUCAUCUUCGGGGGUAGAGCACUGUUUCGGCUAGGGGGUCAUCCCGACUUACCAACCCGAUGCAAACUACGAAUACCGAAGAAUGUUAUCACGGGAGACACACGGCGGGUGCUAACGUCCGUCGUGAAGAGGGAAACAACCCAGACCGCCAGCUAAGGUCCCAAAGUCAUGGUUAAGUGGGAAACGAUGUGGGAAGGCACAGACAGCCAGGAUGUUGGCUUAGAAGCAGCCAUCAUUUAAAGAAAGCGUAAUAGCUCACUGGUCGAGUCGGCCUGCGCGGAAGAUGUAACGGGGCUAAACCAUGCACCGAAGCUGCGGCAGCGACACUAUGUGUUGUUGGGUAGGGGAGCGUUCUGUAAGCCUGCGAAGGUGACCUGUGAGGGUUGCUGGAGGUAUCAGAAGUGCGAAUGCUGACAUAAGUAACGAUAAAGCGGGUGAAAAGCCCGCUCGCCGGAAGACCAAGGGUUCCUGUCCAACGUUAAUCGGGGCAGGGUGAGUCGACCCCUAAGGCGAGGCCGAAAGGCGUAGUCGAUGGGAAACAGGUUAAUAUUCCUGUACUUGGUGUUACUGCGAAGGGGGGACGGAGAAGGCUAUGUUAGCCGGGCGACGGUUGUCCCGGUUUAAGCAUGUAGGCUGGUUAUCCAGGCAAAUCCGGAUAAUCAAGGCUGAGGUGUGAUGACGAGGCACUACGGUGCUGAAGUAACAAAUGCCCUGCUUCCAGGAAAAGCCUCUAAGCAUCAGGUAACAUUAAAUCGUACCCCAAACCGACACAGGUGGUCAGGUAGAGAAUACCAAGGCGCUUGAGAGAACUCGGGUGAAGGAACUAGGCAAAAUGGUGCCGUAACUUCGGGAGAAGGCACGCUGGUGUGUAGGUGAAGUCCCUGCGGAUGGAGCUGAGACCAGUCGAAGAUACCAGCUGGCUGCAACUGUUUAUUAAAAACACAGCACUGUGCAAACACGAAAGUGGACGUAUACGGUGUGACGCCUGCCCGGUGCCGGAAGGUUAAUUGAUGGGGUUAUCCGUAAGGAGAAGCUCUUGAUCGAAGCCCCGGUAAACGGCGGCCGUAACUAUAACGGUCCUAAGGUAGCGAAAUUCCUUGUCGGGUAAGUUCCGACCUGCACGAAUGGCGUAAUGAUGGCCAGGCUGUCUCCACCCGAGACUCAGUGAAAUUGAACUCGCUGUGAAGAUGCAGUGUACCCGCGGCAAGACGGAAAGACCCCGUGAACCUUUACUAUAGCUUGACACUGAACAUUGAGCCUUGAUGUGUAGGAUAGGUGGGAGGCUUUGAAGCGUGGACGCCAGUCUGCGUGGAGCCGACCUUGAAAUACCACCCUUUAAUGUUUGAUGUUCUAACGUUGGCCCCUUACCGGGGUUGCGGACAGUGUCUGGUGGGUAGUUUGACUGGGGCGGUCUCCUCCCAAAGCGUAACGGAGGAGCACGAAGGUUAGCUAAUCCUGGUCGGACAUCAGGAGGUUAGUGCAAUGGCAUAAGCUAGCUUGACUGCGAGCGUGACGGCGCGAGCAGGUGCGAAAGCAGGUCAUAGUGAUCCGGUGGUUCUGAAUGGAAGGGCCAUCGCUCAACGGAUAAAAGGUACUCCGGGGAUAACAGGCUGAUACCGCCCAAGAGUUCAUAUCGACGGCGGUGUUUGGCACCUCGAUGUCGGCUCAUCACAUCCUGGGGCUGAAGUAGGUCCCAAGGGUAUGGCUGUUCGCCAUUUAAAGUGGUACGCGAGCUGGGUUUAGAACGUCGUGAGACAGUUCGGUCCCUAUCUGCCGUGGGCGCUGGAGAAUUGAGGGGGGCUGCUCCUAGUACGAGAGGACCGGAGUGGACGCAUCACUGGUGUUCGGGUUGUCAUGCCAAUGGCACUGCCCGGUAGCUAAAUGCGGAAGAGAUAAGUGCUGAAAGCAUCUAAGCACGAAACUUGCCCCGAGAUGAGUUCUCCCUGAGACUUUAAGUCUCCUGAAGGAACGUUGAAGACGACGACGUUGAUAGGCCGGGUGUGUAAGCGCAGCGAUGCGUUGAGCUAACCGGUACUAAUGAACCGUGAGGCUUAACCUU
This 2902-nucleotide ribosomal RNA is filed under the name Klebsiella pneumoniae. Its description in RNAcentral is "23S ribosomal RNA". It matches the Rfam family "Bacterial large subunit ribosomal RNA". Lineage: Bacteria; Pseudomonadati; Pseudomonadota; Gammaproteobacteria; Enterobacterales; Enterobacteriaceae. The record is from RNAcentral.